Molecule: ribosomal RNA, 280 nt
Filed under: unidentified marine bacterioplankton
Lineage: Bacteria
Also listed under: 1 other name
Description: partial 16S ribosomal RNA
Rfam family: Bacterial small subunit ribosomal RNA
Source: RNAcentral
AAAGUCCUUCGGGAUGAGUAGAGUGGCGCACGGGUGAGUAACGCGUAAGUAAUCUAUCCCUGUAUCUGGAAUAACUAUGGGAAACUGUAGCUAAUACCGGAUACGUUUAUCUCUUUGCGAAUUGAUAAAGAAAGGUGACCUCUUCUUGAAAGCUACUGUACGGGGAGGAGCUUGCGUACCAUUAGCUUGUUGGUGGGGUAAUGGCCUACCAAGGCAACGAUGGUUAGCGGGUCUGAGAGGAUGAUCCGCCACACUGGAACUGGAACACGGACCAGACUCC